UUCCGGUUGAUCCCGCCGGACCUGACUGCUAUCGGAUUGGUACUAAGCCAUGCGAGUCGUUGUAGCAAUACAAGGCGGACGGCUCAGUAACACGUAGUCAACCUAACCUAUGGACGUGGAUAACCUCGGGAAACUGAGAAUAAACCGCGAUAGAUCAUUAUGCCUGGAAUGGCUUAUGGUUCAAACAAUUUAUUGCCGUAGGAUGGGACUGCGGCCUAUCAGCUUGUUGGUGAGGUAAUGGCCCACCAAGGCUAUAACAGGUACGGGCUCUGAGAGGAGAAGCCCGGAGAUGGGUACUGAGACACGGACCCAGGCCCUAUGGGGCGCAGCAGGCGAGAAACCUUAGCAAUGUGCGAAAGCACGACUAGGUUAAUCCGAGUGAUUUCUGUUGAAGAAAUCUUUUGUCAGUCGUAAAACCACAGACGAAUAAGGGGUGGGCAAGUCUGGUGUCAGCCGCCGCGGUAAUACCAGCACCUCGAGUGGUCAGGAGGUUUAUUGGGCCUAAAGCAUCCGUAGCCGGCUACGCAAGUCUCCGGUUAAAUCCAGCUGCUCAACAGAUGGGCUGCCGGAGAUACUACAUAGCUAGGGAGCGGGAGAGGUAGACGGUAUUCUGUGGGUAGGGGUAAAAUCCACUGAUCCAUAGAGGACCACCAGUGGCGAAGGCGGUCUACCAGAACGCGUUCGACGGUGAGGGAUGAAAGCUGGGGGAGCAAACCGGAUUAGAUACCCGGGUAGUCCCAGCUGUAAACGAUGCAAACUCGGUGAUGCAUUGGCUUAUGGCCAAUGCAGUGCCGCAGGGAAGCCGUUAAGUUUGCCGCCUGGGAAGUACGGACGCAAGUCUGAAACUUAAAGGAUUGGCGGGGGAGCA
RNAcentral lists this ribosomal RNA (868 nucleotides) under uncultured archaeon. RNAcentral describes it as "bacterial SSU rRNA". It matches the Rfam family "Archaeal small subunit ribosomal RNA", at positions 1 to 878 of the family's 1478-position model. The record is from RNAcentral.